UACGGAGGAUGCGAGCGUUAUCCGGAUUUAUUGGGUUUAAAGGGUGCGUAGGCGGGAUGCCAAGUCAGCGGUAAAAAUGCGGUGCUCAACGCCGUCGAACCGUUGAAACUGGCGUUCUUGAGUGGGCGAGAAGUAUGCGGAAUGCGUGGUGUAGCGGUGAAAUGCAUAGAUAUCACGCAGAACUCCGAUUGCGAAGGCAGCAUACCGGCGCCCUACUGACGCUGAGGCACGAAAGCGUGGGGAGCAAACAGG
RNAcentral lists this ribosomal RNA (252 nucleotides) under uncultured bacterium. Its description in RNAcentral is "partial 16S ribosomal RNA". It matches the Rfam family "Bacterial small subunit ribosomal RNA", at positions 524 to 776 of the family's 1533-position model. The record is from RNAcentral.